UACGGGGGGAGCAAGCGUUGUUCGGAUUUACUGGGCGUAAAGGGCGCGUAGGCGGUCAGCACAAGUCAGUUGUGAAAUCUCCGGGCUUAACUCGGAAAGGUCAACUGAUACUGUGCGACUAGAGUACGGAAGAGGCGAGUGGAAUUCCUGGUGUAGCGGUGGAAUGCGCAGAUAUCAGGAGGAACACCAAUAGCGAAGGCAGCUCGCUGGGACGUUACUGACACUGAGGCGCGAAAGCGUGGGGAGCGAACAGG
Molecule: ribosomal RNA, 254 nt
Filed under: uncultured bacterium
Lineage: Bacteria
Description: partial 16S ribosomal RNA
Rfam family: Bacterial small subunit ribosomal RNA
Source: RNAcentral